RNAcentral lists this small RNA (882 nucleotides) under Rattus norvegicus (Norway rat). RNAcentral describes it as "uncharacterized LOC103691239". The record is from RNAcentral. Lineage: Eukaryota; Metazoa; Chordata; Mammalia; Rodentia; Muridae.
CCAGACAGCAAGUUAGCAAAGAACAGCCCAGCUUCUGCGGUCCCUGCUGGCUGACGAGGAGCAGACCUUGUCCCAGGUCUUCCCCAGUUUUCUUCCCUAGAGUCAAUUCUGUCAACCUAGAGGGAUUGUCCUAGCACAGAACGGGGACAGGAGAGGUGAGAUGACUUUAAAGGUUUGGGGUUAGGGGCUGGGAAAGUGGCUCAGUCAGUAAGAUGCUUUCCAUGCCACUGCGGAGACCUGUGUUUGAUCCUCAGAACCCACAGACAAACUGGACACCGAUGAAAGGACCAGGACAUGAACACCGGGCCUCCUGACCAAGAAAGAGGCAGUGGAUCUAUGAUGACUAGCCCUGCUUGUCAACUUGACUACAUCUGGAAUUAACUAAAACCCAAGCGGCUGAUACAUCAGUGGGAUAAUUCAUCUAUUCAAGAAAAUUACUCCAGCCAGCAGGAGUAGAAAGGAUUCAAUUUUAGCCUCUUGUCUCUGACGUUUAAGAAAUAAUAACUGUAAUUUCAGGAAGACACCCAAAGCAAAGUGAAGAUUUAAAUUUUUAUUACUUUAUUUAUUAUGUGUGCACCUGAAUGUCAGGGGGUGGUGCCCAGGUCACGGUGCCAUGGUACACGCGUGGAGGUCAGAGUGUAGCUUCUCUCCUUCCACCGUGAGGGACCUGGGGAUCCGACUCAGAUGACAGCGUGGCGGCAAGCACCUUUACUAGCUGAGUCAUCUCUUUGGCUCAAGAUAAGAAUUUAAGUGUUUACUUUACGGGUCGAGUAAUGGGUUAGAGAAAAGUUUAAUAUCUCAACUAUUUUAAACCUUUAAGCUUCUGUGUACCCAGCCAGUCAUUUCUUGAUCUUUGUUAAUGAAGCUUUAGGCUCAGGCAGU